GAGAUGCUUGGAGGUACAUUUUCUCACAUCUACAAAGGAGAAGAAAUGCAACUAAAGCUUUAACUGGCUGUGAUGAAGGGAAAUCAGCCAUUGGAUGAGUUUGUCAGGAAGUUCAAAAUCUUAUGUCAGUCUCAUAGCUAUACAACAGACCAUGCAGUGGACAAAGUCUUCCAACUGUCAAGAUCCUUGGGACCUCAUUACUAGGUCUGUGACUUGGCAGUUCUAUCAAAACCAUCAU
Molecule: long non-coding RNA, 238 nt
Filed under: Elaeis guineensis (African oil palm)
Lineage: Eukaryota; Viridiplantae; Streptophyta; Magnoliopsida; Arecales; Arecaceae
Description: long non-coding RNA (EGUI_LNC023737)
Source: RNAcentral